CCUACGGGUGGCUGCAGUGAGGAAUAUUUGUCAAUGGGCGGAAGCCUGAACCAGCCAAGUAGCGUGCAGGAUGACGGCCCUACGGGUUGUAAACUGCUUUUAUACGGGAAUAACGUUCAUUAUGUGUAGUGUUUUGUAUGUACCGUAUGAAUAAGGAUCGGCUAACUCCGUGCCAGCAGCCGCGGUAAUACGGAAGGUCCGGGCGUUAUCCGGAUUUAUUGGGUUUAAAGGGAGCGUAGGCGGACGGUUAAGCCAGUUGUGAAAGUUUGCGGCUCAACCGUAAACUUGCAGGUGAUACUGGGUGUCGGGAGUGCAGUAGAGGUAGGCGGAAUGCGUGGUGUAGCGGUGAAAUGCUGAGAGAGCACGAAGAACGGCGAUUGCGAAGGCAGCUGACUGGACUGUAACUGACGCUGAUGCUCGAAAGUGUGGGUAUCAAACAGGAUUAGAUACACCUGUAGUC
This 460-nucleotide ribosomal RNA is filed under the name uncultured bacterium. RNAcentral describes it as "partial 16S ribosomal RNA". It matches the Rfam family "Bacterial small subunit ribosomal RNA", at positions 338 to 795 of the family's 1533-position model. The record is from RNAcentral.